Molecule: ribosomal RNA, 241 nt
Filed under: uncultured bacterium
Lineage: Bacteria
Description: partial 16S ribosomal RNA
Rfam family: Bacterial small subunit ribosomal RNA
Source: RNAcentral
AAGCGUUGUUCGGAAUUACUGGGCGUAAAGGGCUAGUAGGUGGCCAACUAAGUCAGACGUGAAAUCCCUCGGCUUAACCGGGGAACUGCGUCUGAUACUGGAUGGCUUGAAUCCGGGAGAGGGACGUGGAAUUCCAGGUGUAGCGGUGAAAUGCGUAGAUAUCUGGAGGAACACCGGUGGCGAAGGCGACGUCCUGGACCGGCAUUGACGCUGAGGCGCGAAAGCCAGGGGAGCAAACGGG